UGGGGAAUAUUGCACAAUGGAGGGAACUUUGAUGCAGCGACGCCGCGUGAGUGAUGAAGGAAUUCGUUUCGUAAAACUCUGUUCUAUGGGAAGAAAAGGACUGUACCAUAGGAGAAAGCUCCGGCUAAAUACGUGCCAGCAGCCGCGGUAAUACGUAUGGAGCGAGCGUUGUCCGGAAUUAUUGGGCGUAAAGGGUGCGCAGGCGGCUUUACAAGUUGGAUGUGAAAUAUUGUGGCUCAACCACAAACGUGCAUCCAAAACUGCAAAGCUUGAGUUAAGGAGAGGUAAGUGGAAUUCCUGGUGUAGCAGUGGAAUGCAUAGAUAUCAAGAGGAAUACCGGUGGCGAAGGCGACUUACUGGACUUAAACUGACGCUCAAGCACGAAAGCGUGGGGAGCAAACAGG
RNAcentral lists this ribosomal RNA (404 nucleotides) under Fusobacteriota bacterium. RNAcentral's name for it is "Fusobacteria bacterium partial 16S ribosomal RNA". It matches the Rfam family "Bacterial small subunit ribosomal RNA", at positions 355 to 776 of the family's 1533-position model. Lineage: Bacteria; Fusobacteriati; Fusobacteriota. The record is from RNAcentral.